GACAGAGGGUGCAAACGUUGUUCGGAAUUACUGGGCGUAAAGCGCGUGUAGGCGGCUUGGAAAGUCGGGUGUGAAAGCCCUGGGCUCAACCUAGGAAGUGCACUCGAAACUGCCGAGCUUGAGUUCUGGAGAGGAAGGCGGAAUUCUCGGUGUAGAGGUGAAAUUCGUAGAUAUCGAGAGGAACACCGGUGGCGAAGGCGGCCUUCUGGACAGCAACUGACGCUGAGACGCGAAAGCGUGGGGAGCAAACAGG
Molecule: ribosomal RNA, 253 nt
Filed under: uncultured bacterium
Lineage: Bacteria
Description: partial 16S ribosomal RNA
Rfam family: Bacterial small subunit ribosomal RNA
Source: RNAcentral